CAGGCAUCACCGUGCAUUAUUCAGAGCCGCCACUAGGUGGCGGUGGAUACACACUUCUGAGGAGGUACGCACCUGCGAGACUAGGCAAUUGCGGUCUCUGAAGGUUCUGGGUCUUACUUUGGAAGAGGAGAACCCUGAGAAGACACUCACCUUAUGGAGAAGCUUCACUGCCAUCUCUAAUGCUCUCCAGAGCUCAGCCAAGGAUAACUCCAUCUGCCCAGGGGCUGGAGCAACUUGCUGCUGUCUCCAUUCAUGGUGAAGAAGGAAACUGAUCUCAGGGAGAUGCUUAUGAAAAAUUCCAGAAGUGACAGUGCUGUGGGAGCUGAGGGUCUCUGUCUCUCUCUCCUUCCAUCCUGCCUCCAACUUUCCCAAGGGGGCUCAGUCACUGAGGGGCUCUUGCUCCUAAUCUGUGGACUCUCCAGAACACGAUGGAAAAGUUCAACACCUACAUGCGACUCCACUCUCUGGUAUUGUCUCAGGUUUCCUCUCUUCUGAACACAUGUGCAUCUGAAUGCAUUCAAGCAAGAUUCUUUUGGCCAUUUAUGUAUGGCAUGUCUCUGAUUACCAGCUGGGCACUUCAAAGUGGGGAGAACAUAAGGACAGCCUAAUGUAGGCAGUUAUAUUUACAACCUGGAACAACUGACAAAAUGUAAAUUGGAAAUCUGCUUGGUGCUGGAGUGAGACAGGAAAUGUGAGACUUACAAAACAUUCAUCUGGAUUUUAGAUUUCAUUUUAUGUAUACCUGUUAAAUCUCAGAAUGUCAAAUGGUGGAGCAGGGUAUAAAAUGGGAAUAAUCUCCCUUCCAGUUCCUCAAAUUGCCCAAACCCAACCAGAUUGCCAUAUAAUCUCAGAGAUACUUUCUAAGCAGAUAUCUGCAUAGUGGUUUAAACGAUAAUGCUGUGAAAAUUCAUUUUACCCUCUUUCUCUCUCAUUUGACAAUAUAUGUAAGAUACCUUCCUUUAUCAACACAUAUAGUUGCAUAGUAAUACAUUAUAAGGUACUCGUUUCUUAUUAGUUUUCCCCUCUAUUGAUCAAUUUUGGUGUUUUUUUCCCUCUUACUAUGAAAAAUGAUGCUAUGAAUAUUCUUAGAUAUUCAUGUCAUUUCUAUUUCUGUUAUAAAUCCCCAGAGUUGGAAUUUUCUGCUUUUAAGGUAGACGUAUUGAUGCUAGUGCUUUUUAUUGGCAUCAAAUUAUACUCCAAAGAUUUUGGAUUCAUUCGCAUAGGUACUAUGACUGUAUAGUCAUGUGUCACUUAAUGAUGGAGGUAAAUUCUGUGAAAUGCAUCAGUAGGCAGUUUGAUCAUUGUAUGAACAUCAUAGAGCAUACUCACACAAACCUAGGUGGUAUAGGCUGUUACACGCCUAGGUCAUAUUGUAUAGUCUAUUGCUCCUAGACUACAAACCUAUACAGCAUGUUACUAUACUGAAUCCUAAAGGCAAUUGUGACACAAUGGUAAGUAUUCGUGUGUCUAAACCUAUCUAAACAUAGAAAUGGUACAGUAAGAAUACUGUACAAAAGAUAAAGAAUGAUAAGCCUGUAUAGAGCACUUACCAUGAAUGGAGCUUGCAGGACUGGAAGUUGCUCUGGGUAGGUCAGUGAGUGAGUGGUGAGUGACUGUGAAGGCCUGGGACAUUAUUGUACACUACUGCAGACUCUGUAAGCCCUGAAUCAGUGUGCAGUGUACAGUUAUACUGUAUAAGGCUACAUUAAUUUUACACAAAAACACUUUUCUUUCUUCGUUAAUAAAUUAACCUUAGCUUGCUGU
This is a long non-coding RNA of Equus asinus (donkey), 1764 nucleotides long. The record is from Ensembl. Lineage: Eukaryota; Metazoa; Chordata; Mammalia; Perissodactyla; Equidae.